This 253-nucleotide ribosomal RNA is filed under the name uncultured bacterium. RNAcentral describes it as "partial 16S ribosomal RNA". It matches the Rfam family "Bacterial small subunit ribosomal RNA", at positions 524 to 776 of the family's 1533-position model. The record is from RNAcentral.
GACGUAGGGGGCAAGCGUUGUCCGGAAUUAUUGGGCGUAAAGCGCACGUAGGCGGCUCUGUAAGUCGGAUGUGAAAUCCCUCGGCUUAACCAAGGAAGUGCAUCCGAAACUGCAAGGCUUGAGUACUUAAGAGGAUCGCGGAAUUCCCGGUGUAGAGGUGAAAUUCGUAGAUAUCGGGAGGAACACCAGUGGCGAAGGCGGCGAUCUGGGAAGAUACUGACGCUGAGGUGCGAAAGCGUGGGGAGCAAACAGG